RNAcentral lists this ribosomal RNA (307 nucleotides) under Limia vittata (Cuban limia). RNAcentral's name for it is "12S ribosomal RNA". It matches the Rfam family "Bacterial small subunit ribosomal RNA", at positions 875 to 1350 of the family's 1533-position model. The record is from RNAcentral. Lineage: Eukaryota; Metazoa; Chordata; Actinopteri; Cyprinodontiformes; Poeciliidae.
GGGAACUACGAGCAUAAGCUUAAAACCCAAAGGACUUGGCGGUGCUUUAGACCCCCCUAGAGGAGCCUGUUCUAGAACCGAUAACCCCCGUUCGACCUCACCUUUUCUUGUUCUUCCCGUCUAUAUACCGCCGUCGUCAGCAUACCCUGUGAAGGAAACAUAGUAGGCAAAACUGGUAAAACCCAAAACGCCAGGUCGAGGUGUAGCAUACGAAAAGGAAAGAAAUGGGCUACAUUUCCUCUUACAGGAAAUACGAAUUGUGUCAUGAAACAACACAUGAAGGAGGAUUUAGCAGUAAGCAGAAAAC